Folsomia candida is the source of this 544-nucleotide long non-coding RNA. RefSeq lists it as uncharacterized. NCBI's taxonomy places the organism in Eukaryota, Metazoa, Arthropoda, Collembola, Entomobryomorpha, Isotomidae. The transcript has 2 exons. The record is from RefSeq and is a predicted model, not a curated record.
GAUUCAUUCCGUUAUUCAACAUGUUCGGAUCUUUGAUAUAAAAAGUAGCUCAGAUCGAGUCAGUUUCACAAGCAAUUUGACUUUACCAAAGUUUACAAAUAUUUAAGUACCUUUUAAUAAGGAAACAAGUCUUCUUUUGCACUUGUGCUACAAAAUCAGAAAGAUGGCGUCAUCUCGAUUCCUCUACCUUUUCGCGGUUGUUGUCCUCGUGGCUGUCGUGUCUGAAACGGAGGGGCAAGUUGGGAGCACGGGGUGCAGUCGUAAAUGGGCUCCGGCCGGGUGGUGUUGGCGUUACUGCUCGGGAUCGUCGGGCAGUUGGUGUUACACGGGGCGGCAGGGGCCAUGUGAGACGGCCUCUUGCACGGGAGGGUCCUGUUCAGGGAUAAGUUGCCGAGGGGCCGCUGCGGGCUGUGUCGGGCACUGUUCGUAAUAAGUAAAUUCAGUCGGAUAUGUUUCGCAGGAAGUAAAAAGUUUAAAAUAUGUAUGUAUAUGUAUAAAAAAUUAAUUUCAAAAUUUGAAUUUUAUUCGAUUUGUAACGUAUUUA